CGUGCAGCCGGGCCGGCAAGUCAGAUGUGAAAUCUGGAGGCUUAACCUCCAAACUGCAUUUGAAACUGUAGGUCUUGAGUACCGGAAAGGUUAUCGGAAUUCCUUGUGUAGCGGUGAAAUGCGUAGAUAUAAGGAAGAACACCAGUGGCGAAGGCGGAUAACUGGACGGCAACUGACGGUGAGGCGCGAAAGCGUGGGGAGCAAACA
Molecule: ribosomal RNA, 207 nt
Filed under: uncultured bacterium
Lineage: Bacteria
Description: partial 16S ribosomal RNA
Rfam family: Bacterial small subunit ribosomal RNA
Source: RNAcentral